GACGAACGCUGGCGGCGUGCUUAACACAUGCAAGUCGAACGGAAAGGCCCUGCUUGCAGGGUACUCGAGUGGCGAACGGGUGAGUAACACGUGGGUGAUCUGCCCUGCACUUCGGGAUAAGCCUGGGAAACUGGGUCUAAUACCGGAUAGGAGCCAUUUUUAGUGUGAUGGUUGGAAAGUUUUUUCGGUGUAGGAUGAGCUCGCGGCCUAUCAGCUUGUUGGUGGGGUAAUGGCCUACCAAGGCGGCGACGGGUAGCCGGCCUGAGAGGGUGGACGGCCACAUUGGGACUGAGAUACGGCCCAGACUCCUACGGGAGGCAGCAGUGGGGAAUAGUGCACAAUGGGCGCAAGCCUGAUGCAGCGACGCCGCGUGGGGGAUGACGGCCUUCGGGUUGUAAACUCCUUUCGCUAGGGACGAAGCUUUUUGUGACGGUACCUAGAUAAGAAGCACCGGCUAACUACGUGCCAGCCGCCGCGGUAA
RNAcentral lists this ribosomal RNA (481 nucleotides) under uncultured Actinomycetales bacterium. RNAcentral's name for it is "bacterial SSU rRNA". It matches the Rfam family "Bacterial small subunit ribosomal RNA", at positions 28 to 523 of the family's 1533-position model. Lineage: Bacteria; Bacillati; Actinomycetota; Actinomycetes; Actinomycetales. The record is from RNAcentral.